UACCAUUUAUAAGCUCCGGCUAACUACGUGCCAGCAGCCGCGNUNNUACGUAGGGAGCAAGCGUUGUUCGGAUUUACUGGGCGUAAAGGGCGCGUAGGCGGCGCGGUAAGUCACUUGUGAAAUCUCUGAGCUUAACUCAGAACGGCCAAGUGAUACUGCUGUGCUAGAGUGCGGAAGNGGCAACCGGAAUUCUUGGUGUAGCGGUGAAAUGCGUAGAUAUCAAGAGGAACACCUGAGGCGAAGGCGGGUUGCUGGGCCGACACUGACGCUGAUGCGCGAAAGCCAGGGGAGCAAACG
This 297-nucleotide ribosomal RNA is filed under the name uncultured bacterium. RNAcentral describes it as "partial 16S ribosomal RNA". It matches the Rfam family "Bacterial small subunit ribosomal RNA", at positions 476 to 774 of the family's 1533-position model. The record is from RNAcentral.